Molecule: ribosomal RNA, 833 nt
Filed under: uncultured Caryophanales bacterium
Lineage: Bacteria; Bacillati; Bacillota; Bacilli; Caryophanales
Description: uncultured Bacillales bacterium partial 16S ribosomal RNA
Rfam family: Bacterial small subunit ribosomal RNA (bases 722-833)
Source: RNAcentral
AGGCCCCUAUGCCACACAUUCUGCUUCACAUCUCCUCUCUCCCUNUCUUAUCUCCUCUCACCCCCACUCANCACUACCCCCUCCCUNCAACCCCCNNCNNCUNNCCCCUCNNCCUCNNCNCCCUUCGCUCCCCACUCCCCCACCNCUAACCCGGCCCUGACUCCCACACCACCCUCCACCCCCUCCUCUCACCCCCCACCCCGUCCCACCCACUAUCUCUCCCUCCCCCCUCACUCCCCCCCCUCACGCCACCCCCCCCCCUCCUCCUUCCCCCCACCCGCCCUCCCAACCCUCCCCACCCCCCCCCCGCUCCCCCCCCAACCCACCCUUCCACCCUCUCUCCACCCCCCGCCCCCCCCCUCCCCCCCCCCCCCACCCCACCCCCCCCCCCCCGCCCCCUCCCCCAACUCUCCCGCUCCCCCACUACUUCCCCGCGCUCCUACCCUCCCCCCGCACCCCCAGACGGCCUCCACCCAUCACCUCCCCUCCCCCGUUCCCACCCCACCCCGCUGGAGACUUCCUCACACUAUACGCCCCCCCCCACCCGCCCGCCACCUGCUCCCACUCACCGUCACAAGCGCNGGCGACCNCCANGGCCCAGCAAUNCUCACAAAACCACUCUCAGUUCGGCUUGUAGGCUGCAACUGCCUCCANGAAUCCGGAAUCGCUAGUAAUUGUGGAUCAGCAUGCCACGGUGAAUACGUUCCCGGGUCUUGUACACCANCGCCCGUCACACCACGAGAGUUUGUAACACCCGAAGUCGGUGGGGUAACCGCAAGGAGCCAGCUGCCUAAGGUGGGACAGAUGAUUGGGGUGAAGUCGUAACAAGGUAA